RNAcentral lists this ribosomal RNA (230 nucleotides) under uncultured bacterium. RNAcentral's name for it is "partial 16S ribosomal RNA". It matches the Rfam family "Bacterial small subunit ribosomal RNA", at positions 563 to 791 of the family's 1533-position model. The record is from RNAcentral.
AAGGGUGGCGUAGGCGGGUAGGUAAGUCAGUGGUGAAAUCCUGGAGCUCAACUCCAGAACUGCCAUUGAUACUAUCUAUCUUGAAUAUUGUGGAGGUAAGCGGAAUAUGUCAUGUAGCGGUGAAAUGCUUAGAUAUGACAUAGAACACCCAUUGCGAAGGCAGCUUACUACGCAUAUAUUGACGCUGAGGCACGAAAGCGUGGGGAUCAAACAGGAUUAGAUACCCUGGU